CCCAGUCUACUUUUACAAUCUCUCCGUUUUAAUCCAUGUUUUUAUUAGUUCUUGUUUUUUAUUGGCUAAUGUUUAAAUUCUUUUAAUUGUGCAUGUUUUUGUCUAUUGCUGUUUUAUACUGCUACUGUUUUUAUUUGGGCUUGGCCCCAUGGAAGCCGCCCUGAGUCCCCUUUGGGAAGAUAGAGGCGGGGUAUAAAAAUAAAGUUAUUAUUAUUAUUAUCAUCCCAUCGGGGGAAGUGUCAACACCCAAAUUCCCCCCAUUGCAGGGAAAGCAACACCGGAAGGCUUCCAGGUUGCCGCAGUUGCAUGUGCUGCUUUCUCUCACUUUUUGGCAUGGAUCCUGGCCAGAAGUGCCUGCACAUCAUGUGAAGGGCUCCAUGCAGAAAAGGGAGAGGAAGCAGCAAACGAUGGACAAAUUGGCCCAUCUGAUGAGACUGAAAGAGGCUUCCCCCAUGUGAUGAGAUAUUCCAGUGGAUUUUUUUUCUGUGAACCCAUGGGAAAUUUGGGUUUUAAGGA
Molecule: long non-coding RNA, 516 nt
Filed under: Anolis carolinensis (green anole)
Lineage: Eukaryota; Metazoa; Chordata; Lepidosauria; Squamata; Anolidae
Description: lncRNA (ENSACAG00000039451.1)
Source: RNAcentral